AUACGGAGGGUGCAAGCGUUGUUCGGAAUCACUGGGCGUAAAGAGUUCGUAGGCGGACUGAUAAGUAAGAGGUGAAAUCCCAGGGCUCAACCCUGGAACUGCCUUUUAAACUGUCAGUCUAGAGACCGGAAGAGGUUAGGGGAAUACCUAGUGUAGAGGUGAAAUUCGUAGAUAUUAGGUGGAACACCAGUGGCGAAGGCGCCUAACUGGUCCGGUACUGACGCUGAGGAACGAAAGCGUGGGGAGCAAACAGGAUUAGAAACCCUAGUAGUCC
Molecule: ribosomal RNA, 274 nt
Filed under: uncultured bacterium
Lineage: Bacteria
Description: partial 16S ribosomal RNA
Rfam family: Bacterial small subunit ribosomal RNA
Source: RNAcentral